CUUCACCCCUAUCAUUCCCCACGAGAUAGCUUGCUCUCUGAGCAAAAUAAUCUAGAUCAUUAUUCAAUAAUUCAAUUUAAACAACUCAAUAUCAUACCAUUUGCUGAAAUUCUCAAAGAAACCAGAGGAAAUCAUAAUGGCAACUUAAUACAUGCAAAACAUUACAUAGAUAGGAUAAAUCGUGGGAUCUUACUCAAAUUAUUGCCCCUUGAGGUUUUUGAAGAUUUCAAGUUUUUCUUGGAGGUUCAAAAGUCGACCAGCAAUGUUUGGCAGGUUCUUGGGAAAAUUUAAAUUGUUAUUUUUGAUGAAUCUCAAAUUUCUUGAAGGUUGAAGAACAGCCAGCAACAUAUUUUCUUGAAGUUUCGGGCAGAUUCAAAAGGAUUGUAAACCGGCAAGAAAAGGUGUUGCAAUGUCCUUUAAGGCAGACUCAAGGCAGCUUCUUGGUUCAAUCAAGUGCCAGCAGGUUGCUUUCUUGCAAUGGUUGAGCUGCUUCAUGGGAUUACUUGGUUCCAUGUUCAAUCAGCUAUAUAUAUACUGUGAGUUUGGCCCGUUUAUGUGCCAUUCUAGCCAGUUUGUGGGCAGAUUCUGGGUGUUUAUCUGGCCAGCUGGGUGUUAGCUCUUGAAGAUUUGAAAUGGUUCUUGAAGUUCGUAAGUUGAUAAAUUAACACGGUGGCAAGUUUUGGUAAACCAUUGGAAUUUCAAGUUAUUGUUAGGCUGUUUUUACUUAAUUGGGCAAUAAAUUCAAAAUUUGAAUUUUCUCAAACUGCCCUUGCAUUAAUGCAGCAAGGUUGACUGUUUUAUGCAGUAUUUUGUUGCCCAAAUUGGUAAAAAACUUCAGAAACGGGCAGAUGUUCUUCCCGCCAGCAGGCUGCUUGGUUUGAUAGCUUUCAAUAUUUAAAACCUUUUUGAAGAUUUGGAAUCCGAUCAACAGGCAAGUAACCUACCUGACCAAUUGCUUGUUUCAUGGUUCAAACACUUGGCCACUUCAGUUUGGUUCUUGUUACCAGCAGCCUGCGUGUCCAAUUUUGGUUCUUUGUGAGCAAGCAGCCUAGUUUUGUUGGAGGAAAAAGGGGUUUACUAAUUUGAAUUGGCUAAGGCUUUUAAGGAGGAUAACACUAAUAGAAAGGAGGAAGUGAACAAAAUGAAACUUAUACUUUCAACUCCAAAACUUAAAU
This 1175-nucleotide long non-coding RNA is filed under the name Olea europaea subsp. europaea. Lineage: Eukaryota; Viridiplantae; Streptophyta; Magnoliopsida; Lamiales; Oleaceae. The record is from RNAcentral.